RNAcentral lists this transfer RNA (46 nucleotides) under Thaumamermis cosgrovei. RNAcentral's name for it is "tRNA-Phe". The record is from RNAcentral. Lineage: Eukaryota; Metazoa; Nematoda; Enoplea; Mermithida; Mermithidae.
GUCAAGUAAGAUGGUCUAUUGAAGAUUGAUUUGGGCGUAAUAUUCC